This 479-nucleotide ribosomal RNA is filed under the name uncultured organism. RNAcentral describes it as "partial 16S ribosomal RNA". It matches the Rfam family "Bacterial small subunit ribosomal RNA", at positions 331 to 801 of the family's 1533-position model. The record is from RNAcentral.
GUACACUCCUACGGGAGGCAGCAGUGGGGAAUUUUGGACAAUGGGCGAAAGCCUGAUCCAGCCAUGCCGCGUGCAGGAUGAAGGCCUUCGGGUUGUAAACUGCUUUUGUACGGAACGAAACGGCCUUUUCUAAUAAAGAGGGCUAAUGACGGUACCGUAAGAAUAAGCACCGGCUAACUACGUGCCAGCAGCCGCGGUAAUACGUAGGGUGCAAGCGUUAAUCGGAAUUACUGGGCGUAAAGCGUGCGCAGGCGGUUAUGUAAGACAGUUGUGAAAUCCCCGGGCUCAACCUGGGAACUGCAUCUGUGACUGCAUAGCUAGAGUACGGUAGAGGGGGAUGGAAUUCCGCGUGUAGCAGUGAAAUGCGUAGAUAUGCGGAGGAACACCGAUGGCGAAGGCAAUCCCCUGGACCUGUACUGACGCUCAUGCACGAAAGCGUGGGGAGCAAACAGGAUUAGAAACCCCUGUAGUCCCAUGAU